This 253-nucleotide ribosomal RNA is filed under the name uncultured bacterium. RNAcentral describes it as "partial 16S ribosomal RNA". It matches the Rfam family "Bacterial small subunit ribosomal RNA", at positions 524 to 776 of the family's 1533-position model. The record is from RNAcentral.
UACGUAGGGGGCUAGCGUUGUCCGGAUUUAUUGGGCGUAAAGAGCGUGUAGGCGGCCAGGUAGGUCUGCUGUGAAAACUCGAGGCUCAACCUCGAGACGUCGGCGGAAACCAUCUGGCUAGAGUCCGGAAGAGGAGAGUGGAAUUCCUGGUGUAGCGGUGAAAUGCGCAGAUAUCAGGAAGAACACCCGUGGCGAAGGCGGCUCUCUGGGACGGUACUGACGCUGAGGAACGAAAGCUAGGGGAGCAAACAGG